This 422-nucleotide ribosomal RNA is filed under the name uncultured bacterium. RNAcentral's name for it is "bacterial SSU rRNA". It matches the Rfam family "Bacterial small subunit ribosomal RNA", at positions 355 to 774 of the family's 1533-position model. The record is from RNAcentral.
UGAGGAAUAUUGGUCAAUGGGGGCAACCCUGAACCAGCCAAGUCGCGUGAAGGAUGAAGGUCUUAUGGAUUGUAAACCUCUUUUACACGGGAAUAAAGUGGGGGACGUGUCCCCCUUUGCAUGUACCGUGUGAAUAAGGAUCGGCUAACUCCGUGCCAGCAGCCGCGGUAAUACGGAGGAUCCGAGCGUUAUCCGGAUUUAUUGGGUUUAAAGGGUGCGCAGGCGGGAUGUUAAGUCGGCGGUGAAAUUUUGCAGCUCAACUGUAAAAGUGCCUUCGAUACUGGCCUCCUUGAGUGUGGAUGAAGUAGGCGGAAUUUGUGGUGUAGCGGUGAAAUGCUUAGAUAUCACGAGGAACUCCGAUUGCGCAGGCAGCUUACUAAACUACAACUGACGCUCAUGCACGAAGGCGUGGGGAUCAAACA